CAGUAGUGCCGGCCACGGACCUUCCCACCCAGCACCGAUGGGUUUGCCGAGGCAGGAUGGAGGGCAGGGACGCACCGAGCGCUGCACUGCCAGCCGCCGUGCACACACCCGCCCCAGGCGCCAGGCCCGGUGGGGCUCCCGGACAGCAUGGAGGGGAUGCGCCGCCCGGAGCCGGAGCCACGCGGAACACAGCUCGCUGUCUACAUGGUAAAAUGAGACGAGGUGCGGCCUCCCGAGUGAGGGCGGGGCACCCGCCAGGCCUGGGCGCUCACACUUGGAAGCAAGAGCCUGGAGGCUGGUGCCGCCGGGCCCGCAAGCGCCAAGGUGACGUGGACGCAGGAGGCGGGGCCGAGCGCCUGUGGGACACGCCCCCCAGCCGGGCGGGAGAGGAGUCCGCGCACGGAGGGUCCGCGGGAACCCGCGGAUCCACGGCUGAGCUCGCGCCCGGGCCCUGAGCCUUUGCCUGGGACGCCAGACCGCAGCCGCCGGCCUCGCUGCCGCAGAGCCUCCGGGCCAGGCGCCCCAACGACGCCCCCACUGCAGGGGUGCGUCCAGGGCAAGGAGGGGGCUGUUCCCCGGAGGGGCUCCAGGCAUCGGCGAACUGGGCCUGCUGAAAUCCGCAAGGUGGAGGAGGGGGCGAGGGGCGCCCUGGCCGCGAGGUAGCGUCAGGCCGGUCGUGCAGCGGGUUCCCGCCCGUGUCGGCCCCGCCCCGGCCCGCGCCUGUCCCGCCCUCCGCUCCCACCGGCGCGAACCCCGGCUUCCGGGGGCGGCUCGCGGUCCAGACAGUGACCUGUGAGUGGUUUGGCGAUCACUUGGAGGCCAGCUGAAGAAAGGCAGCAAAGGAAAUAGUCUCUUCGCGUGCGGGGGCAGCUUCUGCCCGGCCUGCUACUCCUCCCGGAGCCACGCACGAGCCCAGCCUGGAGCCUUACGGGCUGAGCCCUGCAGGAAGGAGCAGGUUUGAAGAUCUAUCUGGAGCGGCCCUGUGUCUUCUAAAAACGGACACACUUGCACACAUACACAGACAUGCACAAGCACACACGUGUGCACACACGUAGGGGCUGCUGAAGAUUUUCUGGAAGAAGCCCACCGUAGAUCGCUGCCAGAAAACCACUGAGCCGAACCAUCCGGGCCCUUCCAUCUGAGGUCGACGCAGCGCCCUUCCUGCUGAGAGCUGCCAAGUUCUGAAAUAGUCUCUGAAGACCCAAGGUCGCCUCAGCCUUGGCCUUCAGGGCUUUGUUUCUAGGUGGCCAGGGCCAGCCUGGGGAUGGCGGCACAGCCGCAGGUCAGCAGACGUCCCGGAGCCCGUGUGCGAAGAGGAUGCACAGCACCUAAUUCUCACCCACAGGGAACUCAGACCAGAGACAAGGAAAGUGUGCGGACGACCCCGCCCAGGGCGGGGGCCAAGUGCCGGGGAGAAUGGGCGUGACGGAAAGCUCCCUCCAAGGAAAGUUGCUUAACACUGGGCAGGGGGCCCAGGUGCCCAUGAAGGAUGGCGCUGGAGGACGGCAGGGGUCGGGGGACACGGUCCAGGGGAGGGACAGCAUGCAAGACAGCGAGGACCAGCGAAAAAGCAGGAACAGAAAGCAGGGCACCUGCCGGAGCCGGGCCCUCACCCCCUCUGUCCAGCAGGUAUCCCCGGCCCCGAGGCCUGUGAGCUGAAAGGAUCCCGAGUAGCUGAUCUGGCCACCAAAUUCUGUAGGAAGUCCUCCGGGAUAGUGGCUUGCAGAGGCAUCCUGCUGGGUCUCCUGUCAAAAACAUUAUUUAAAGCUUGGAGUCUCCCUGGGGCGGUGUUUUCAUCGGGCCCAGGGGUCCAGGCUGUGUGUCAGGCUGUGGGGUGGAAACCAGGCCGCUCUGGGGAGAGUCUGGAGCAGCUAUGGGGACCGUCAUCUCAGGCAUCUUGGGCUCAGAGGUGACUGCACAGAAAGGGGACCUGGAGCGUCUGCGACUUCAAGACCCCUCCCUCGGGGGCCUUCUCUUAGGUCCCAAAGGGAUAGGAAACCCCCUUGAGGUCUGCGACCUGCGAGAAGCAGAAGCCUGCGUUUCACCAGGAAACCCCAGUGUCCUGCUCAGAGCUCACAGCUCACAAGGCUCACGCUGUCUCGCCGAGGUCACCAAAAUGCAGCUUCCCAUAAUAGUUUACUGACAACUGCUCCAUGCAUGAGCCCGGGUCUGGAUCCUGUGCCCCUUUCUCCUCACCUGACAAAGACCUUUCCCAGCCAGAGGACUCCCACCGCUGGCAACGCCCCUCAGAGGAGCCAGGAGGAGCGUCCUGGAGGGUGUGGUGUGGUUCAGAUCUCACCUCCGGGGCUGGGUCGCCGCCCCCCCCCCGCCCCACACUGGCCCUCAGCUUCUGCUGCUUCCAACCCCACCUGCUGCCACCAGGAGGACGCAAGGGGUCCCUGCGCCUGGCACAGUGACAGUAGAGGCAACGCCAAGGCCUCCCGCCGCGUGCCACGGAGCGGGCAGAGGCCCUGCAGUCUCUGUCGGUCUCUGCCCUUCGACGGCCUGCACCGGCCUGCAGAGGGCUGAUGUGAAGAGUCGGGGCGGGCGGCCUCCUGGGCCGGGGAUGCGUGAGAACGCCGGUCAGAACUGGGGCGGCAGCGCCCACACCCCGCAGGUGGCCCGUCAGCAUCCUCGCAGGCUGACGACAGACCCGCUGCUUCCUCCUCAGAGCCUGAAGGUCAUGGGAAGGACCUCAGAAGCGACACGGAAGAUGCCCACUGCCAGGCAAGCCCGGAGGAGCAGCGCCAGGACGCCGCUGGGCAGGUGCGGGGGCGUUGGAAGGAGGCGGAGCCCGAGGCCAGCGGCCAGGAGGAGCCGGACGGCAGGGAGGGCGCAGACAAGCGCGCCCUGGAGGCCGAGGUCAGGCCGUGGUCCUUUCACGUGCACGCGCUGCCGGCCCUGCGCGUUGGAGUCCUGCCUCUGUUUAUCCGUUCGGUGUCUUCUUACAGGAAGGGGAGCCAGAGUCCGUACAGCUGGGUGACCUCCUGGAAAAAGAGGCAAGAGCUCUUCACUUUAGUAACAGAAGUCAGAGGGGAGGCCUGUCAGGCACAGUCCUGCCGAGGACGCGCGGGCAGCACCAGGCCCCGCCUGAGCUGCCUCAGCGCCCAGUCUGUGCUCCUGGCUGGCGCCAGGGCACCUUAACCCCGGCUUGCCAAACAGCACAGCUGCUGAGGGAGCGGGGGCCCCGACAGGAGGUGACCCUCAGCUUGCCCUUGUCAGGGAGCCCCAGCCCCGGCCCGCCGCAGCCCAGGGGCAGCGGUGCUCACAGGACCCUGUCCAAGAGAGGCUUUCCUUCCCCUUCCCCAUCCGCGUGCAGGGGUGGAGGGGAGCUGGGCUUGGCCUGCAUCCAGGGCCCCUGGGGUCCCCUCCACUCCCCAAAACACUUCUCCCAUUGUUGACUAAACUGCUACCACUGGGCGAAGCCAAGGUGCCUGGUCAGAGACCUGGGGGCCGCUGCACCUGAGCCCCCCAGGCCUUCCCAGCUCACUGUGUGUCUCUGCAGCUCGGGCAGCGGGGCAGGGGGUCUGCAGAGGCAGAGCUCAGGCGCUGCCCAGAUGAGCAGGCCUGCAGUGGGCCUGGAGGGUCCACCCAGCUCUGGGCAUCACCGGCCCUGAUUCUCAGGGGGCAAAGCCGGGGGAGACCCUCUGAGUUCUCAGGGACCUGAUGGGAGGUGAGCAGGGAGGGUUGGGAGGCCACAUCCCUCCUCUCCCUGUGCCAGAGGGCACCUUACCAACCAGUGUCAGCAGGUCCCACCACAGACUGCCAGUGUCUGGUGGGCUCAGUGUAACGCCCAGACCCUGGCCACCACUGGCCCAGAGCCCACGCUCCCUCCCAGGAAUCUGUGUGCCUUCCUGGCUCACCCAAGCCCACCAUCCACGCCUCUUUGGUUUCCAUCCACAGAAGCCAUCUGUGUUUGUGGAGGUUGAUCUGGGAGACGGAUCAGAGGAGGUAAAAAAAACCCAAAGUUCACAAAGCCAAACCACCCACCGGGAAACGCCUUGCUUGGAGCCAUGCGGCAUUCCCAGGAGCUUGCCCCGGGCAUGGGUGUGCUGGAGGCUGAGGCAGAGAUGGGGCCCCAGGGUUUGGAGACUGGCCAGGGGACCAGAGAGCACCUCGCUUCUUUCUCAUUUUCCCUCACGCCAACCCACACACAUUCCUGCACCUCGAUAGAUUCCAGGGCCUGGGUCAACCCUCGAGGUACCCAGGGGCCCUGAGAACCUCUUGUGAGAUUGUGCUGGGGUGGUGAAAGGGCACAAGCUGAGGAGCUGGGAGACCCAGCCUCCACAGCUCUCCAGUGAAUGCUCAAACAAGUCACCAUACCUCUCCAUGCCUCAGUUUUCUCACCUGCAAAAUGGGGAUCUUAGUAGCACCCACAGUCCAGCGUUGUUUUGUGACACCCUCAGAACACUGCCUGGUACCCAGGAAGUGCCAGCAUUAGAUAUCAUCUUCACCACCACCGCCACCAUCACCAUCAUCACCAUCAUCACCACCACCAUCAUCGUCACCAUCAUCACGUCUUCACCAUCAUCACCACCAUCACCAUCAUCACCGCCAUCAUCACCAUUUUCUGUAAAAGGAAGUGGUUAACCCCAUGGCCUGAUUGGGCCUUUCCAACACAAAUAUUCUCCAUUUCUCUGCUAUAGUGAGCAGCCAUCUCUUCGGAAGUUUUUUGAAAUUCUCUCCUGGCAAAUGUAAGCCCCUACCCGGGGGUUGCUUUUUUCCAGAUCGCACCUUCUAUAUCUGCCCUCAGAACAUGCUGUACGAUGAAGAGAGCUGGUUAUUGACCGCCUCCACACACAAGGCUACCUCGGGGCACCACAGGCUUCAAGGACUCAUGAAGAAUCAGUCAGGGGCAGAGCUGGGACUUAGGGUCCAGGUCUUCUGACCUACAGUCCAGGGGUCAUGGUAGCUCACAUCCAGGCACAGUUCCUUCGUCAGGGUCCCCUAGUUAGAAAUUCCCACUUGACGGUGCCCCGUCUUGUGGGAGGAUGCUCAGUGCAGUCUCCACGCCCCACCUCAUCCUUGGGCAGGUUCAGCAGGUCCGGCCCUGGUCCCUGUCAUGACCCCCUCGCCUGUCCCCUCAACUACUCCCACCACAUCCCACAGGUGAUCACAUGUGCCAUGAAAGAAGAGAAGCGGUCCCAGACGGACAUGGGGGAUUUGUCAGAGGACGAGUGAGUGAGGGGUUCACACUGAGGAAGGUGGGAGGCUUUUCCUCCAUCAGGGUUUCUGGUGGGCAGAGCGAGCCCCGGGCUUUCGAUUCCUCCUGGGCACACGCAGAGAUCCAGGCAUUUACUGCAGCUAGAGGGGUGAGGCAGGAUCCCCAUGAGUCCCACCUCACCCCUAGCUAGACCCCUCUCCCCACCCUGUCAGCCAAAAAAAGGGCCAGAGUAGGAGGGAGGGAAAGGUGGGAAGAAGAAGAGGGGGUGAGAGUGGGAGGGUCUCCUCUCUGUGCAGCUCCGAGGUCGCAGCCCUUGGUCCGGCAGGCAGUGGGGGGACCCGUCACACGUGGCUGCUGGCUCAGCAGGGUAGAGGGACCUGGGGCCGGGGGCGGGAGACGUUUGUCCUGACCGCCUCCACCCUGUGGGUAGAGAUUGUGAGGCUGCGAGCGCCUGGGAGCAGGUGAGACGCUCGCCCAGGGCCGUGGCUCUGUGGCAUUUUAAACAAUACAGAGAAACACAAAGGAGAAAACAGCAAUUUGUCCCCUUUCCACCAGAGUCGGAAUUAACAACCACGUCAACGUCUUGGCUAAUUUGCUUGCACGGUUUUUAAAAGAAAAAUUUCUCUAUUUACUUUGUAAAACCGAUACGCGGUCAUUUAAAAUAAAUGAAAAUGUGAGAUAGCCCAACACAGAGGAAAACUUUUAAAUCUGCGAGUGCCACCUCGGAAACAGUGGGGACUUCAUGGGAGCACGUGGCCCCAAAGGAAGAUCCGCACCGCGGGAGAACAGGGCCUUCGGGCCAUUGUGGGUUGCCAGCUGUGAACGUUUAUAGCAUCACAGCCCUUCGCUUACUUGGCAGUCGCUGUUACUGCCUUUCCCCAGGUUGUGUGUUUUGGAGGAGAGCGUUCCUGUUAGGAAGUGUCACCCCAUGUCUCUCCUGAUCUCUGCUCACACAGCCGGCCGUGUGGCUUUCACCAAGAUGUCAGGACUGGCCGGCA
Non-coding RNA from Delphinapterus leucas (beluga whale), 6162 nucleotides. The record is from RefSeq and is a predicted model, not a curated record. NCBI's taxonomy places the organism in Eukaryota, Metazoa, Chordata, Mammalia, Artiodactyla, Monodontidae.